CUAGGCUAUCUUGUAAAAGGAUCUGUCACUUAUAUUUUUUUCUUCUUUUUUAAUUAUUAUUAUUAUUAUUUUAUGCAUUAAAAAGUGAGCCUCAUGCCUUGUAGAAGACAUAUAAGGUUGUAUGAUUUGAUAUAGAUCGAAUCCAGGUAUUCUCAAGCAUCUGACAAGAUAGCUUUUCAAGAAAGAUUUUCAGGGGAACAUUAUGUCUCUUACUACAGUUGAUUUCACUUUAUCCACCCUUAUGUAUAGGAAGAUCGCUGUACUGUCAUUCAGAAAGAGAAAUUGGUCCUGCCACCUACUUCACCCUAAGGAAUUUCAGCACAGUGCUAACUCACAGUGGAUGUGUUUACUGGUAAUGCAAAGCAAGGCAAAAUGACUUGCUGAUGAAGAAUGCAGUGAAUGAUUCAUUGAUGAAAACAACUUGAU
This is a long non-coding RNA of Lagopus muta (rock ptarmigan), 426 nucleotides long. RefSeq lists it as uncharacterized. The record is from RefSeq and is a predicted model, not a curated record. The transcript is spliced from 4 exons. NCBI's taxonomy places the organism in Eukaryota, Metazoa, Chordata, Aves, Galliformes, Phasianidae.